CUCUGUUAAACAAAAAAGAGGGCACGUUAGUUGAAACAAAAGACAAUUUCAGUUCUCUAAUUCUAUCGUAAGUAUUUUCCAUGCUGUGUUGCUAUACUUUUAUAAACACUAAGUUCACGGGAACUUAGAAAUUGCAGAUUUUCAAUAUAAAACCGAAUAGUUUCAACUGAUGAUAAAAAUGAAAUGAACGUCAGUCAGGUUCGACGUGAAACUGAGAGACAUCCUGGCGAUAGAACGAAUCCCUGGAAACUAGACGUGUUAAUCAGAAACUCGAGAGGCUGGUAACGAGCUACAAGUUCGACGCAAAAUACCAAUUGCGUGGGCGACGUCGUCCUUGCCGGGAUCACGGUGGCACGCUGCAACAGUUUAUUGAUAUAUUCCAUUUCUCCCGCGAAUAAGUACCAGAGGAGAGGAGAGGAGAACGGUUCAACGUGCCCGUAUACCGCGAGCAAUCCACGUUCACUGAUCGCAAAGAUCAGCUGACGGCGUGGCUCGCGAUUUCUUUCAGAAAUUGCGCAACUUCGCGAGGCUGAGACUAAUUAUAAAAUAUACCCACCGAACGAGAGGGAGAGGAGACCAGGAUUUUGUUUUGCCGGAUCUUCGCGCGCCAGUGUUGGCCGCGAAUCCAUGCCAAGAACAGUUAUGAACGGAUUCUCUUCACGGUUUCAUGAAAAAUGAACUUUCAUCGGGAAGGUAUCAUCGAUUUCAGUUUUUAUACGAUCCGGAGUCAUUGUGCGGUGAAUCGUGUGGUGUCUCGCGAUAUUUUUAUGCGGUACCCCCGACGACGCAACCUGUGCGUCUUAUCUGAUACAACUAAUGACGCAUCAUGUGUGUCAUAUCCUUUUAUCCAGUGCAAAUAAGCGAAAUGAUACGAUUCAUGAAAGAUGAAGUCAAUAAUAAUUUUAAAAGAAAUUCCCACAGUAAGACCGUGACCUCCAACGAAUUGAAAAGUGAACUAAAACUUGUAUGAAUAACGCAGUUAUUGAAAAUCAAUCCUGGCAAAAAGAGCUCUUUUCCCUGUUUUCAUUCAUCGUAUGCAAAAGGAAAAAGCGAUGAAACAAUGAAGCGUUUGACGAACGGCAAGAAGUAGGUCGUGCCUCGAUGAAACGCAAAAUUUCGCGGCACGCGAUUUGAUUCGCAAAUCUACGCUGACGGCACGCUUUGUCUAUCGCGAAUACGAUUUAGGUCACUCGGUAUAUACGCGUCGAGGAGUUUUCGAAACGUAAAGCUCUUGAAAAUUGGUUUAGAAAAUUGAAUUGCAAGAUAAGAGAUCGACGUUCCUGUGAAAUUAAAUUAAAUUCCAUCGUUCUUCGAAGGAAGAUCCUUAUCACUUUUCGAUUAAAACUUCUGUCGAUUUCUAAAUAUAAAAGAUAUAUCGAAGGCCAUAUUUCGCUUCCAAGUAGGACAUUUUUUUCAUGCAAAGAGUACAUAUUGAACUAUUGAAGAUAAAAUUUUAGAACAAAGAAUCCUUGAAACGAAAGGAAAAUAGAGAUUCUGUGUAGCAUUGUUCGAAUAUGCCUUUGUUAAACAGUAAUGUUUCUUUCUUUCUUUCGUUUCAAUGCUUUAUUUGGUAUUCGAGGAUGGUUCGUGCAUGUGCAUGGUAAAUAACGAUAUAUAAAACUAACAUCUACCAUAUGUGCAGGUCUUAAACACGUUGAAUGUGAAAUGAAUUCCGUAUGCUUUGUCCACGACGCCGCAGUGGAGGCGUCCGUAUAUGGUCAGACAUAUCGUAAGGAGAAUCACCAUAUUACAUUAUAAUAAUUCUAAUACUAUUUUGUCCCCAUUUUUGUCACUGACUCUUAAGACAUUCAACGUGUUAGUUUCUAUAAAGAAUGAAAGAAACAGCUUUCAAUUCCUUGAAAUUUCCUCAAAAAAGUAUGACCCUUUGCCUUUUAAUUAGUUGCACUGGUGGCCUUAAUUACAAACUCAACUGAACAAGACACUCCAGAGGUGCUAAUUUCACUUCUAAUGAAAAUUUGCUAAAUUGAGAAUCGUAAAGUACAAAUUUAUCCAUCAGAUAUUAAUUACUUUCUUUGUUCCAAUGAUCGAACGUGCGAACAAUGAAUUAAAGCAGAUCAGAUCGUAAGGCAAAGGGUUGAUCCAUCGAUUUAUCGUUGUCAAACGUGAAAUCGAUUACAGAUUAAUACGAAGCUUUUUUUUCCAACGAGUUUACCUUGCGGAUGAGAUUCCCCAUGACUUCUGAAAGGACCUCCACUUUUCGGCUGUCACUGCCGUCCGAAACGCAACCAUAUUUACACGCGGGUUCAACGGAACCCCACGUUGUGAACUUUCUUACUUUCUCCCCCCCAUCUUUUCCCCCCCUCUAUAUAUCCACACCCCCUGACACGUUUAUUUUGGACGACACGGAACAUCCUUCAAGCUUGCCAUUCACCCCUUCUUCAUGGUUUUGUGUAUUUUUUUUUGUCUUUUUUUUUACUCCGUCUCGCUGACUCUGUUAGGACUUUUAAAAUUGACGUGUUCUAUCAGUUCAAUAAACUUUGACACACCUGCUGCGUCUAACGAAAGUAUAAUAGGAAAAAGAACUUUCUUGGAACAAGAGCUCUGUCUCAAAUGAAAGAAAAAACGAAAACUGACGAUGAAACGAUUUGUUGAAGAAUUUAAAGCAUGACUGUAGUUUCGAAAAGCAGAGAGAUCGAUUAGACUGAUUGCUAGAAACUUUUUUAUCCUUCGGUUCAUCCUUGAAAGUUAUAAAUACCAGAUUACUCGAUAUCGUUCGACUAAAGAUCAAAUUGUUACUUUCUUAGGUGUUAAUUAAGGAGCCUGUUUCAAUCUUUCUGAAUUGAGGGGAAUUCUAGAAACAAGUGAGGUUAGAAAGUAGAACGUUCAUGUCGUUCGCUAAUGCAACGCAAUUUAAUAUCACGAAAUAAGAAAUUAACUCCAGGAUUAUUCAUGCCAUGUUUUUUUUUUAGCUUCUUGUAUUAUCUUUCUUUUUUUUUUCUAAGAUAAUUACGUAAGUUACCGAAACGUAGUAGUUAAUAGAAUCUUAUGAACGAUUUGAAUAAUUUACACGUUUUAGAAGUUAUGUUUCUUAAUUUAUAAGGUCUAGCAUGUAUCGAGGCAAUUAACACUCUUAAUUACUGUUUAUAUUCCUAAAUGCCAAUUAUAGACCUCUUUAGAUCGAUUAACAACGCAAUGUACAGUAUCGAACGUAGUAGGCUUCCGUAGGAUGUAUAAUUAAUUUUAAUAAUAUUAACAUUAAACAUGAUUUAGAACAAACAAUAACAUAAUUUUUAGUUAUUAAUUAUUAUAAAAUUUAGUAUGUAACUGAAAAGUACAAGCAACAAGGUAAACAUCAAUUCAAAUUUUCGCGGGUAUGCGUUUGAAUGCAAGCGGAGGGCCGCCCCCGGCCUAUAUAUAUGGGACCUCUACCCACGCAUCUUCAUUUUCCCCGGGACCGUCUCCGGAGACGGAUCGGAGGCCGGGGAAGGGAAACCACAGGGGGGGGGGGAUCGCCAUUUUUCUUCGUGAAACGUACCAUGCUCGGUACUGUACAAGCUUUUUUUGUUAAGAACCAAGAAUGUAUAAAUAUGAACAGAGUAAAUUUGCUGUAGACUUGCAGGGAAUCGAUUUGAAACGUGGACAUGUUUAAUAGCCUUUAAAUAUUUUCGUUUCUUUUUUUUACAACGAAUAAACUCGAAUGCAAUGUGUUACAUCUCGACAUCAAAAAAUAUAAAAAUAAUAUGUUCGCACCUAGGUAUAUCGAAAAUUCCCGCCUUGAUGUUCGAUAUCUCCGAUCCUCUUUGAAUUUCGAAGAACAUUUCUCGUCAACCGUGACGAACUAUAGAUUACACUGUGCUCUUUUAUUCGUUAAACCUACGGUAUAAACUGAACGCGUUCACUCGAGCACUUCGUAUAUUCGAGGCAUUCAAGCGAACAAGGCGAUACAAUCAGUAGCAAUUUCCAUUCGAAACUCGAGAAGCUCGCGCUCUCCUUAUUCGGCGUGUUCUUGACAUCAUCGAGACCACAACACACACUAUCGGCUAUAUGUAUGAGUCAUUCCCAUCUUGUCGCGUUGACAGAGAAAAAGGAACACUUUUCAACAGGGGUGUGUCUCUCUCAUCCCUCUGCGUUUAGCUUCAUCGAGCUGCAGUCUUAUGGUCCAUAGAGAAUUUUAUACGGACAUUAAUGCAGUUCGAUACGACUGCAUUCGAUAAGAACGACGCGUUAAAGCGAGAGAGGAGGAACUAGGUCUGACGACACAGUUAGUUAUCACCUUUGCAGUCAGCUUGUCUCUGCUUGCCAAGAGAGACUUAGCCAGAAAACCACGCACUCACCGAACGUGACGGAUCAACGGAAGAUAUCUUUGACUGCACGCGACCACCACCAUCUACGUGUCUGUGUAUGUAUGAGAAACGACGAUGCUGCCAAAAAGCGAACGCCUCACCUUUCGAGAAUGAUUUUGCAAUCCUAAGAUGAAGGUUGCGGCUAGAUCGCGUACAACAUGGAACGAGGCUGCGAUUCGUCGAGUAGAUUCAAUGACCACAGAAUCAUCGCCACCGUCUUGCCACGAUGAUACAUCCACUAACACUUGCUGUUACACACCGCUGUCGUAACGUCGGACCGCGCACACGCCGCAUGGGCAUUAUGCUACAAAGAUCACCAACUAUGGAAGUGGUGGGACACCGAUUCGAGAUAGCGAGGUGAGGUUCAUGUAGCGCUAUCUCUGAAAUGACACGUGAACACGCUCGUUAAACGCGUAUCCUCGCUGAUGGUAAAUCGAUGGACCGAUUAAACUGCAACGAGUCAUUUGACACUGGCAUGAAGAAAGGAAAAGCCGAAAGUUCAUUGAACGUGAUCGAAUUAUGAUGGAACGUCAGACUUAAAUGGAAGAUACAUAAUGAAAAAUUUCAAGGGAAACUUUGCAUUUCAUUAAAUUUCUUUUUUUCUUUAAAAAUAACGUCGGUAGUUCAAUCUUAUCCUGAUUAAUCAGCACUUUCUCUUACAUAGCGGCAUAUUAAUCGUAGAGUCUUGAAUAUAACAGAUUAAAUUGAUAAAGGAGAUAUCAAGUACUUGAAGUUUAAUGAAUUUUAAGUUACUCUUUAUACGAAGGCUAGUGUCUCCUAUUUCUGUAAUCGUUGAUGCUAUUGCACUUUGAUAUAUUAAAAACUUUGUGCUCGUACUGUAUAACGUCACUUUUAUUGUUUCUGCAGUCAGAAUCACACGGAAAUGCAGUAGGUUUUUCACCGUAACGAGGAGAACCGGUUUAACCGGGAACAAAAUUUUUGUAUAACGCUGGAAACAAACCAGUUUUUGUUUCAUGCGUACAAGAAAUAGAGGAGCAUUUGUAAGUGCCGUGGAUUUACGAGCUGUGCGUCAAACAUUAACUGUACUUCCCUUAAUUUAUUCUACACACGCGGCAGAUAUUACGAUAUAAGUAUGCUAAUAAA
Molecule: non-coding RNA, 5408 nt
Organism: Osmia lignaria (orchard mason bee)
Lineage: Eukaryota; Metazoa; Arthropoda; Insecta; Hymenoptera; Megachilidae
Source: RefSeq, a predicted model, not a curated record